GAGACAUACACUUCCUUCUGAAGCAGCUCGUGCUGUUUGGUUAUGAUGAGCAAGCUGGGGCACUGCAGCAAGUCCUAGAAGAGGUUUUGCAGUUGAUGGAGACCUCCAUCCCAGAAAUAUGGACUCCGGAGCUGCAGCAGAGCUUCAUCAACCCGGUCCUGGGCCCCAAUUCAACUGCAAAUAGCAUUAUGGCUGCCUAUCAGCAGAAGAUGAUGGUGGCUCCUGUUGUACAAGAUCCAGAAUUACUUAUUCCGCCAAAACUCAAUAAAAAUCUACAGUGGAAACUGCAUCUUCUCCAAUAACUAAAAGACAAGGAAUCCCAGUGGACUCUGAACUGCAUCUUUUGGUAUAAUUUCAUUACAUCUUUAGAGAAA
Mesitornis unicolor (brown roatelo) is the source of this 374-nucleotide long non-coding RNA. RefSeq lists it as uncharacterized. The transcript is spliced from 3 exons. The record is from RefSeq and is a predicted model, not a curated record. NCBI's taxonomy places the organism in Eukaryota, Metazoa, Chordata, Aves, Mesitornithiformes, Mesitornithidae.